RNAcentral lists this ribosomal RNA (427 nucleotides) under uncultured bacterium. RNAcentral's name for it is "bacterial SSU rRNA". It matches the Rfam family "Bacterial small subunit ribosomal RNA", at positions 355 to 774 of the family's 1533-position model. The record is from RNAcentral.
UGGGGAAUUUUGGACAAUGGGCGCAAGCCUGAUCCAGCAAUGCCGCGUGCAUGAUGAAGGCCUUCGGGUUGUAAACUGCUUUUGUACGGAGCGAAAAGGUCUGCCCUAAUACGGUGGGCUCAUGACGGUACCGUAAGAAUAAGCACCGGCUAACUACGUGCCAGCAGCCGCGGUAAUACGUAGGGUGCGAGCGUUAAUCGGAAUUACUGGGCGUAAAGCGUGCGCAGGCGGUUAUAUACGUCAGAUGUGAAAUCCCCGGGCUCAACCUGGGAACUGCAUUUGAGACUGUAUAGCUAGAGUACGGUAGAGGGGGGUGGAAUUCCGGGUGUAGCGGUGAAAUGCGUAGAUAUGUGGAGGAACACCGAUGGCGAAGGCAAUCCCCUGGACGUGUACUGACGCUCAUGUGCGAAAGCGUGGGGAGCAAACA